RNAcentral lists this long non-coding RNA (1330 nucleotides) under Junco hyemalis (dark-eyed junco). RNAcentral describes it as "lncRNA (ENSJHYG00000011450.1)". The record is from RNAcentral. Lineage: Eukaryota; Metazoa; Chordata; Aves; Passeriformes; Passerellidae.
CUCAAUUUGAGUCACUGCAGGAGGCAAGUGAAAUUUCUCUUCUAGCACUCAAGAGAUAACUUCUUUCCUGGGAACAACAAGUUUUCUUUUCCUUUGCUCUUCAUUCCCAAGAGCAUCUUCUGUGAGGACAUUGAGGUGAAGUGUGGGAUGUCUGUAGGAAGGGGGAGGACAGAGCCAGCCACCAUUGCAGCAAGCCACAAAUGGCCACUGGAAGAAGGAAUGAGUACAAAUGACUUUAGGAAAUACACAGGUGUGAGGAGAAAACUGGACUGAGAGGCAGAAUGGCUGCAGAAGAGAGGCUGCCAUGGUGAAUAGGAGUAGAAGCUCUGGUGAGUGGAGUUCUCAUGCCUGGGGGACUGUUUAGUUAAUUACUGAGGGUGGAUGCCUAUGUGCUGAUGUGAAAGCUCCUGUAGCAGGAUUAAAAUAAUGAUAUGUUGUAUUUCAGAGAGUCAGCAGUAACAGCCAUGUGAUAAGGGCAGGAUUGACUUGGGACAGGAGGGAUUAAAAGUGGAGAUAGGCACAAACCCAAUAUAUAACAUAUAUUUUACUAAUACAACUUUGACCGAAAUAUUACUAAUUCAAAAAAUAUGCUUUGUGGCUUCUUAACUUUGUGCCUGGCAAUUUUAAGAGGCAAAUAGCUAAGAUGCAAAUUAAUCAGUAUUUUCUAAUUGUAGUCUCCUGUUUGUUUAUUGCUUCUUGGUAGUCACAUGUAAUGUGACAAUAACUCAAGAUGACACUUCCCAGUCCCCCACCUUAUUUUCUACCUUUUACAACAGCAGAAGCAACUGAAUCAGCAAAGCUCCCAAGAGUGCCUGUGUUACAAGUAUUGAUUCAUUCUCUGAGUACCCAUUCAUUUGGGCAUGGAGUAAGACCUGUGUCUGGAAUCUGGGCCAGUGGAUCUCAGAGGACUGGGCUUCACAGUGCUAUGUUAGCAUCCCUGAACACCAGAACGGUCGCAGAUACCAAAUUACAGCAAAUGUUUCUGAGACAGGAUUUAAGACACGUUCUCAUCUCUGGAAUGAUAUUGUGACAUUUUCCAUCAGGCUAAGAAAGAAGUGCAUUUGUUGGAAAAAUCCCAACAGUUGCAAAAUAUUGUAACUAUCCUCAGUUUCUAAAAUAUUGUCUAUUUCUGAAUUGUGCAUGUACUUGCUUUGUAUCACAUCAUGCAUAGUAAUUAAUCUAUUUUGUGACGAAGAUGUAGUCUCUGGAAGAGUUGUGUCUCUCUGAUCUCUUGCAAUUAAUGGGUAAAAGUGAGAAAAUGUCUUAAUAGUAAUGUUUAACCAAACCACAGUGUUAUUUUGGCAAUAAAUGUAUGGGACUGUCUGUGACA